RNAcentral lists this ribosomal RNA (253 nucleotides) under uncultured bacterium. Its description in RNAcentral is "partial 16S ribosomal RNA". It matches the Rfam family "Bacterial small subunit ribosomal RNA", at positions 524 to 776 of the family's 1533-position model. The record is from RNAcentral.
UACGAAGGGGGCUAGCGUUGUUCGGAAUCACUGGGCGUAAAGCGCACGUAGGCGGACUUUUAAGUCAGGGGUGAAAUCCCGAGGCUCAACCUCGGAACUGCCUUUGAUACUGGGAGUCUCGAGUCCGGAAGAGGUUGGUGGAACAGCUAGUGUAGAGGUGAAAUUCGUAGAUAUUAGCUAGAACACCAGUGGCGAAGGCGGCCAACUGGUCCGGUACUGACGCUGAGGUGCGAAAGCGUGGGGAGCAAACAGG